Citrus sinensis (sweet orange) is the source of this 92-nucleotide non-coding RNA. Lineage: Eukaryota; Viridiplantae; Streptophyta; Magnoliopsida; Sapindales; Rutaceae. The record is from Rfam.
UUAGCAGUGAUGAAGCACUAACUUGUAAGAAGAAACCUGUCUUAAUGGUUUCUCCAAUGAAAUUCACUAGUUACGCUUGGCUUCUGAGCUUA